This 445-nucleotide ribosomal RNA is filed under the name uncultured bacterium. RNAcentral describes it as "partial 16S ribosomal RNA". It matches the Rfam family "Bacterial small subunit ribosomal RNA", at positions 354 to 796 of the family's 1533-position model. The record is from RNAcentral.
GUGAGGAAUAUUGGACAAUGGGCGCAAGCCUGAUCCAGCCAUGCCGCGUGCAGGAAGACGCAUCUAUGGUGUGUAAACUGCUUUUGUACGGGAAGAAACACUCCCUCGUGAGGGAGCUUGACGGUACCGUAAGAAUAAGGAUCGGCUAACUCCGUGCCAGCAGCCGCGGUAAUACGGAGGAUCCAAGCGUUAUCCGGAAUCAUUGGGUUUAAAGGGUCCGUAGGCGGUUUAAUAAGUCAGUGGUGAAAGCCGAUCGCUCAACGAUUGAACGGCGAUUGAUACUGUUAGACUUGAAUUACAAGGAAGUAACUAGAAUAUGUAGUGUAGCGGUGAAAUGCUUAGAUAUUACAUGGAAUACCAAUUGCGAAGGCAGGUUACUACUUGUGGAUUGACGCUGAUGGACGAAAGCGUGGGGAGCGAACAGGAUUAGAAACCCUAGUAGUCC